GCCUAAUACAUGCAAGUCGCGCGGGCGGAGGGAGAGCUUGCUCUCCGGAAGCCAGCGGCGGACGGGUGAGUAACACGUGGGCAACCUGCCCGGCAGACCGGGAUAACGCCUGGAAACGGGUGCUAAUACCGGAUAGGCGCAGAGGACGCAUGUUCUUUGCGGGAAAGGCGCUACGGCGUCACUGUCGGAUGGGCCCGCGGCGCAUUAGCUAGUUGGUGGGGUAACGGCUCACCAAGGCGACGAUGCGUAGCCGACCUGAGAGGGUGACCGGCCACACUGGGACUGAGACACGGCCCAGACUCCUACGGGAGGCAGCAGUAGGGAAUCUUCCACAAUGGGCGCAAGCCUGAUGGAGCAACGCCGCGUGAGUGAAGAAGGCCUUCGGGUUGUAAAGCUCUGUCAUCUGGGACGAACGGGCAGGAGAGGGAAUGCUCCUGUCGUGACGGUACCAGAGGAGGAAGCCACGGCUAACUACGUGCCAGCAGCCGCGGUAAUACGUAGGUGGCAAGCGUUGUCCGGAAUUACUGGGCGUAAAGCGCGCGCAGGCGGCCGCUUAAGUCUGGGGUGAAAACCCGGGGCUCAACCCCAGGAGUGCCUUGGAUACUGGGUGGCUUGAGCAUCGGAGAGGCAAGGGGAAUUCCAUGUGUAGCGGUGAAAUGCGUAGAGAUAUGGAGGAACACCAGUAGCGAAGGCGCCUUGCUGGCCGGUAGCUGACGCUGAGGCGCGAAAGCGUGNGGAGCAAACAGGAUUAGAUACCCUGGUAGUCCACGCCGUAAACGAUGAGUGCUAGGUGUUGGCGGUUUUGAAGCCGUC
Molecule: ribosomal RNA, 813 nt
Filed under: uncultured organism
Description: SSU rRNA
Rfam family: Bacterial small subunit ribosomal RNA
Source: RNAcentral